This 253-nucleotide ribosomal RNA is filed under the name uncultured Burkholderia sp. RNAcentral describes it as "partial 16S ribosomal RNA". It matches the Rfam family "Bacterial small subunit ribosomal RNA", at positions 524 to 776 of the family's 1533-position model. Lineage: Bacteria; Pseudomonadati; Pseudomonadota; Betaproteobacteria; Burkholderiales; Burkholderiaceae. The record is from RNAcentral.
UACGUAGGGUGCGAGCGUUAAUCGGAAUUACUGGGCGUAAAGCGUGCGCAGGCGGUGCUGUAAGACCGAUGUGAAAUCCCCGGGCUUAACCUGGGAACUGCGUUGGUGACUGCAGCGCUGGAGUAUGGCAGAGGGGGGUGGAAUUCCACGUGUAGCAGUGAAAUGCGUAGAGAUGUGGAGGAACACCGAUGGCGAAGGCAGCCCCCUGGGCCAAUACUGACGCUCAUGCACGAAAGCGUGGGGAGCAAACAGG